UACGUAGGGUGCGAGCGUUAAUCGGAAUUACUGGGCGUAAAGCGUGCGCAGGCGGCUAUGCAAGACAGAUGUGAAAUCCCCGGGCUUAACCUGGGAACUGCAUUUGUGACUGCAUGGCUAGAGUACGGCAGAGGGGGAUGGAAUUCCGCGUGUAGCAGUGAAAUGCGUAGAUAUGCGGAGGAACACCGAUGGCGAAGGCAAUCCCCUGGGCCUGUACUGACGCUCAUGCACGAAAGCGUGGGGAGCAAACAGG
Molecule: ribosomal RNA, 253 nt
Filed under: uncultured bacterium
Lineage: Bacteria
Description: partial 16S ribosomal RNA
Rfam family: Bacterial small subunit ribosomal RNA
Source: RNAcentral